AUACACAUCCACACAAUCAACAUGUGAACAGAGGAUGACCUGAAGAGAAAAGGCUUCAGUGGGAAAUGUUCAUUUGGCUGAAACGGCGCGCAGGACUGCAGACCUUUUAGCCUCGCCUCUCCAUCCUGCACAAGGGCCAGUUGCAGUUUGUCUCCAACCUGUCAGCAGCAGCUUGUGGUUACCAUGCCUGCAGUUUGUGGUUACCAUGCCUACAACGUCUCAACAACCGGUGCAUCCAUCCACAGCAAAACUCUGUCCUUUCAGUUGUUUAAAAGGAUCUGAACAUCCGCAGAGACCUGGAGGGGAGCGGAGCCGCUGGAAUCUCCGUCUACCUCUGACGGUUAAGGGGUACUGCGACUAGACAACACAUCAAUGCACAUCUUCAGCAUUUGCAGUGAAAAGCAGCAUCCUGAAGAUCUUAUGCCAACGAUGCUGAUGCUGCAUUGAUGAUCAAUGGCAAUUUUACAGUUGAUCAAUCUUGUGUAAUAAAUCAUGUGUACAAUUGACAUAGUCCUUAGCAAUAUCCAAUCUGAUGGUGUAUCUGUGUGUGGCUGUGAAAAGAUAUCCUAAAAAUGAAUUAUAUAUAAAAAUGUUAAUAAAGAACUUGUG
Molecule: long non-coding RNA, 609 nt
Organism: Perca fluviatilis (European perch)
Lineage: Eukaryota; Metazoa; Chordata; Actinopteri; Perciformes; Percidae
Exons: 4
Source: RefSeq, a predicted model, not a curated record